AACCAACGCUGGCGGCGUGCCUCAGACAUGCAAGUCGAACGAUUAAAGCUCUCUUCGGAGAGUGUAUAGAGUGGCGCACGGGUGAGUAACACGUAAGUAAUCUACCUUCGAGUGGGGAAUAACAGUCGGAGACGACUGCUAAUACCGCAUAAUGCAGCGGCAUCGCAAGAUGACAGUUGUUAAAGGAAUUUAUUUCGCUUGAAGAGGAGCUUGCGGCAGAUUAGCUAGUUGGUAAGGUAAUGGCUUACCAAGGCUACGAUCUGUAACCGGUCUAAGAGGACGGUCGGUCACACUGACACUGAAUAACGGGUCAGACUCCUACGGGAGGCAGCAGUCGGGAAUUUUGGGCAAUGGGCGAAAGACCUGACCCAGCAACGCCGCGUGAAGGAUGAAGUAUUUCGGUAUGUAAACUUCGAAAGAAUAGGAAGAAUAAA
RNAcentral lists this ribosomal RNA (434 nucleotides) under uncultured bacterium. Its description in RNAcentral is "bacterial SSU rRNA". It matches the Rfam family "Bacterial small subunit ribosomal RNA", at positions 32 to 453 of the family's 1533-position model. The record is from RNAcentral.